Molecule: ribosomal RNA, 376 nt
Filed under: Clostridioides difficile
Lineage: Bacteria; Bacillati; Bacillota; Clostridia; Peptostreptococcales; Peptostreptococcaceae
Description: bacterial LSU rRNA
Rfam family: Bacterial large subunit ribosomal RNA
Source: RNAcentral
UCAGGUGGCCGCAGAGAAUAGGCCCAAGCGACUGUUUACCAAAAACAUAGGUUUCUGCUAAGUCGCAAGACGAUGUAUAGGAGCUGACGCCUGCCCGGUGCUGGAAGGUUAAGGGGAUCUGUUAGAGCAAUCGAAGCAGUGAACUUAAGCCCCAGUAAACGGCGGCCGUAACUAUAACGGUCCUAAGGUAGCGAAAUUCCUUGUCGGGUAAGUUCCGACCCGCACGAAAGGCGUAACGAGUUGGGCACUGUCUCAACAACAGACUCGGUGAAAUUGUAAUUCCGGUGAAGAUGCCGGAUACCUGCGACAGGCCGGAAAAACCCCAUGGAGCUUUACUGUAGCUUGACAUUGGGUCUUGGUACUACAUGUACAGGAU